RNAcentral lists this ribosomal RNA (500 nucleotides) under uncultured bacterium. RNAcentral's name for it is "partial 16S ribosomal RNA". It matches the Rfam family "Bacterial small subunit ribosomal RNA", at positions 30 to 523 of the family's 1533-position model. The record is from RNAcentral.
AUUGAACGCUGGCGGCAUGCCUUACACAUGCAAGUCGAACGGCAGCACGGGUGCUUGCACCUGGUGGCGAGUGGCGAACGGGUGAGUAAUACAUCGGAACGUACCUUAUCGUGGGGGAUAACGCAGCGAAAGCUGUGCUAAUACCGCAUACGCCCUGAGGGGGAAAGUGGGGGAUCGCAAGACCUCGCGCGAUUAGAGCGGCCGAUGCCUGAUUAGCUUGUUGGUGGGGUAAAAGCCCACCAAGGCGACGAUCAGUAGCUGGUCUGAGAGGACGAUCAGCGACACUGGGACUGAGACACGGCCCAGACUCCUACGGGAGGCAGCAGUGGGGAAUUUUGGACAAUGGGGCAACCCUGGUCCAGCAAUGCCGCGUGAGUGAAGAAGGCCUUCGGGUUGUAAAGCUCUUUUGUCAGGGAAGAAACACCGGCUCUAACACAGUCCGGGAAUGACGGUACCUGAAGAAUAAGCACCGGCUAACUACGUGCCAGCCGCCGCCGUAA